GGAGCCGCUGUUCCGCCGUCUGUGGGCUUGAGUAUACCUGCGUACGGGUGGCCGCUAUAGAACGAUGGGGUCGUUGGUGUCUUGGUUCUAUUAACAACACUUUUUUCUUUACGUCCUUUUUACGGUGUAGUACCUUGGGGUGUUUUGUUGUUGUUGUUACUGUUAUUUUUUAUCUCAUCUUGUGGCAUUUGCUUGAUAAGCAUACUCUGCAGCCAUCGAUGUUCACCAGAGGUUUCUUAUGCAUGCCCUGUUCUUUUCAUCUCUCUGCAUUUCUGGUGUCCUGGGGAACAAGCAACACAGUUCUAGUCUUUGUGUCUUUGGUAAGAUCCUUUGCGGUUUCCUUAUGUUUUAUUAGCUAUUUGUCGAAGCCCUGCUUGUUCUUAGAACUUAGUUCAGAUAUUCCUGCUACUGUAACUUCCUGGAUUCACUCCCACAAUGAACUCUUCCUUCCUCAGAACGCUGGUUUGUUGGCUUGUGCUUGGCUUCAUUUAUCUUGUUUUAUUCUGCUUGACAUUACUUGACUUGUUUGUGUCUCCCAUGCAAAUAGGGGCCGCCUUAUUAGAACUGUUACCGUGUUUUGAAUCUAAUAAUAAUAUUAAUAAUCACCAAAAGUGUGCACAUCUCUGAGGGGCUGGGCACUUUUGUAAGUGCCUUUUUAAAUUUUUUAAAAUUUUUUAAUGUCUUAGAAGGAACCCAACUUUUAUUUUACUGAGAAAAUAAUUUGAUCAGCACAGUGGCUAAAGUUUUUUUCUGAUAAAUCUGGAACAGACUUCUGGUAGGGGUGUUCACAGUAACUCACAGCUGUUAAUGCCUUUCUCUAUUUUCCCCCUGAGUGUCACACAGGGUAAUGCUUGGGAAAGUCCUUCAGAGCCCCAGGUGGCCCACGAUUUCACAGUUUUCGGCGGACACAACAUCUUUCUUUGUAUGUGGUGCAGAGGAUGGAACCCUGGCCACACGCAUGCCAGGCGAGUGCGCUACCGCUUGAGCCACAUCCCCAGCCCUAAGUAUUUGAAUUUUAAGUCAGAAAUAGAAAAUCUGAUAUUGCAUGAAGCUACUAGCAAAUUAAGGCCCUGUGAGGCCUGAGGUAGUAUGCCAUGUGGCCAUAUAUUUAGAGUCCUGGAUAGCAGUGCAGUGUUCCUGGGCUAUUGUGACUCCAUUUGGAUCUUGAUGCCUCCUGUUCCUGGGUCUGCUUCCUAGCACUGUCUCAAAGGUUGUUCUUUGGGCUCAGCAUCAACUGUGUAAGUGCUGUUAAAAAAGUAAUUCACUUUUAACACCUUAAAAUUAAACUUGAAUUAAACUUAAUUCACACCAUCCUUAUGAGGAAGUAUCUUAUGUGAUUUUUCAGAUGAGUAAAAUAGCUAAGUAUAUAACCUGCUAUGGGUGCCAUAGCUAUUAAGUAUUCAAAUUUAGGCACAUAAUCUCCAGAAUCCCGCUUUUAAUCCUUGAACCACCAUACUGAUUGUAUAUUAUUCUACAUUUGUUAGUGCCAGGCAUGUUGGUGUGCCUAUAAUUCCAAUGACUAGAGAGGCUGAGGAAGGAGGAUUGAGUUUGACAUUAGCCUUGGCAACUCUGUGAAACUCUAUUUCAAAAUAAAAACUAAAAACUGCUAAUCAGCUCCCCCUGGAUUCAGUCUCCAGGACAAUAAAACCCCCCAUGCCACAAUUGUUUAUUAAUUGAUCUAUUUAGUUCUGGGUUGGAUAUUGGAUGUUUCCUCAGGGAAAAAAGUUAAAAGAUGAUUUUCCUUCUUAUAAUAAGAGUAAUUUGAGAUCAGAAAACAGAACAACAAAAAUCAUACAUAAACACAACAAAAGGUUGCAUGUUUUCUUCUUGGAAGUAGUUGUUUCCUUUCUUAAAAAAAUGAGUAUAUCCAAUACUUCUCCAUAUCAUUAAUUUUCCAGAUAGACUUCAUGUUUUUUCUGGUGUUGGGGAUCAAAUUUUUUAAUAGCUGUAUAAUAUUUAGUUUCAUCAGUUGUUAUUUAAUCUAUAAAUGUUGGGCAGGCAUUUAAGGUUUUUCUAUUGAAUUGCUUUUAUAAAUCCAUUCAAUAAACAUUCACUGAGCAAUUA
Long non-coding RNA from Marmota monax (woodchuck), 2064 nucleotides. RefSeq lists it as uncharacterized. NCBI's taxonomy places the organism in Eukaryota, Metazoa, Chordata, Mammalia, Rodentia, Sciuridae. The transcript is spliced from 2 exons. The record is from RefSeq and is a predicted model, not a curated record.